UACGUAGGGGGCGAGCGUUGUCCGGAGUUACUGGGCGUAAAGCGCACGCAGGCGGUCUGCUAAGUUUGGAGUGACAGUUGGUGGCUUAACUGCCAAAGUGCUUCGAAAACUGACAGACCUGAGGGCUUCAGAGGGACACGGAAUUCCGGGUGGAGUGGUGAAAUGCGUAGAGAUCCGGAGGAACACCAAAGGCGAAGGCAGUGUCCUGGGGAGUACCCGACGCUCAGGUGCGAAAGCCAGGGGAGCGAACGGG
RNAcentral lists this ribosomal RNA (253 nucleotides) under uncultured bacterium. RNAcentral's name for it is "partial 16S ribosomal RNA". It matches the Rfam family "Bacterial small subunit ribosomal RNA", at positions 524 to 776 of the family's 1533-position model. The record is from RNAcentral.